AUGAACGCUGGCGGCGUGCCUAAUACAUGCAAGUCGAGCGAACAGAUGAGGAGCUUGCUCCUCUGACGUUAGCGGCGGACGGGUGAGUAACACGUGGAUAACCUACCUAUAAGACUGGGAUAACUUCGGGAAACCGGAGCUAAUACCGGAUAAUAUAUUGAACCGCAUGGUUCAAUAGUGAAAGACGGUUUUGCUGUCACUUAUAGAUGGAUCCGCGCCGCAUUAGCUAGUUGGUAAGGUAACGGCUUACCAAGGCGACGAUGCGUAGCCGACCUGAGAGGGUGAUCGGCAACACUGGAACUGAGACACGGUCCAGACUCCUACGGGAGGCAGCAGUAGGGAAUCUUCCGCAAUGGGCGAAAGCCUGACGGAGCAACGCCGCGUGAGUGAUGAAGGUCUUCGGAUCGUAAAACUCUGUUAUUAGGGAAGAACAAAUGUGUAAGUAACUAUGCACGUCUUGACGGUACCUAAUCAGAAAGCCACGGCUAACUACGUG
Molecule: ribosomal RNA, 496 nt
Filed under: uncultured bacterium
Lineage: Bacteria
Description: partial 16S ribosomal RNA
Rfam family: Bacterial small subunit ribosomal RNA
Source: RNAcentral